This 717-nucleotide ribosomal RNA is filed under the name Streptococcus anginosus. RNAcentral's name for it is "bacterial SSU rRNA". It matches the Rfam family "Bacterial small subunit ribosomal RNA", at positions 371 to 1079 of the family's 1533-position model. The record is from RNAcentral. Lineage: Bacteria; Bacillati; Bacillota; Bacilli; Lactobacillales; Streptococcaceae.
AUGGGGGGAACCCUGGCCGAGCAACGCCGCGUGAGUGAAGAAGGUUUUCGGAUCGUAAAGCUCUGUUGUUAAGGAAGAACGAGUGUGAGAAUGGAAAGUUCAUACUGUGACGGUACUUAACCAGAAAGGGACGGCUAACUACGUGCCAGCAGCCGCGGUAAUACGUAGGUCCCGAGCGUUGUCCGGAUUUAUUGGGCGUAAAGCGAGCGCAGGCGGUUAGAAAAGUCUGAAGUGAAAGGCAGUGGCUCAACCAUUGUUCGCUUUGGAAACUGUCAAACUUGAGUGCAGAAGGGGAGAGUGGAAUUCCAUGUGUAGCGGUGAAAUGCGUAGAUAUACGGAGGAACACCGGUGGCGAAAGCGGCUCUCUGGUCUGUAACUGACGCUGAGGCUCGAAAGCGUGGGGAGCGAACAGGAUUAGAUACCCUGGUAGUCCACGCCGUAAACGAUGAGUGCUAGGUGUUAGGUCCUUUCCGGGACUUAGUGCCGCAGCUAACGCAUUAAGCACUCCGCCUGGGGAGUACGACCGCAAGGUUGAAACUCAAAGGAAUUGACGGGGGCCCGCACAAGCGGUGGAGCAUGUGGUUUAAUUCGAAGCAACGCGAAGAACCUUACCAGGUCUUGACAUCCCGAUGCUAUUUCUAGAGAUAGGAAGUUUCUUCGGAACAUCGGUGACAGGUGGUGCAUGGUUGUCGUCAGCUCGUGUCGUGAGAUGUUGGG